Molecule: ribosomal RNA, 500 nt
Filed under: uncultured bacterium
Lineage: Bacteria
Description: partial 16S ribosomal RNA
Rfam family: Bacterial small subunit ribosomal RNA
Source: RNAcentral
AUUGAACGCUGGCGGAAUGCUUUACACAUGCAAGUCGAACGGCAGCACGGACUUCGGUCUGGUUGCGAGUGGCGAACGGGUGAGUAACAUAUCGGAACGUAUCCAAUAAUGGGGGAUAACGAGUCGAAAGAUUCGCUAAUACCGCAUACGCCCUACGGGGGAAAGCUGGGGACCUUCGGGCCUGGCGUUAAUGGAGCGGCCGGUAGCUGAUUAGCUAGUUGGUGAGGUAAAGGCUCACCAAGGCGACGAUCAGUAGCUGGUCUGAGAGGACGACCAGCCACACUGGAACUGAGACACGGUCCAGACUCCUACGGGAGGCAGCAGUGGGGAAUUUUGGACAAUGGGCGCAAGUCUGACCCAGCCAUUCCGCGUGAGUGAAGAAGGCCUUCGGGUUGUAAAGCUCUUUCGCAAGGGAAGAAAACUUAGCCACUAACAUUGGUUGAGGUUGACGGUACCUUGAUAAGAAGCACCGGCUAACUACGUGCCAGCCGCCGCGGUAA